Musa acuminata AAA Group (dessert banana) is the source of this 447-nucleotide long non-coding RNA. RefSeq lists it as uncharacterized. The transcript has 3 exons. NCBI's taxonomy places the organism in Eukaryota, Viridiplantae, Streptophyta, Magnoliopsida, Zingiberales, Musaceae. The record is from RefSeq and is a predicted model, not a curated record.
AGUGAUCGUAUUCUCACGAGACCCUCAAUUCGAUCGAACACAGGCGAAUGACUCUUUCGGGUUUGAGCCUCGUCGCCUCUCUUGGCAGAUAAUGGCCUGGAAAUUCUUCGUCGGCGGCGACUGGAACUUCUCCGGCCUGUGGAUCUUCGUCGUCUAUGCUCACGUCUUGCUAGGAUCCGUCUUGAUGUUAACUAUCCAUCUGCAGGAUUAAUGGGACCAGCGAGGAGGUGAAGAAAAUUGUCAGCACUUUGAACGACCGCAAAGUUGCAUCAACUGAUGUUGUUGGUAUAGAUCUCGAUCAAAUGUUUGGAACUCGUUUGGAAAUUUUGUACUUAUUAUUUGGACGCUUCCCCCUUUUGUUGGAGUUGGAGUGAGGAUAUAUCUUGGUCUCGGUGAUAUUAGCAACUAAAAUCUUUAAUUCGUUCAAAUAUGUAGCUCUUGCUGGUU